Molecule: ribosomal RNA, 465 nt
Filed under: uncultured Klebsiella sp.
Lineage: Bacteria; Pseudomonadati; Pseudomonadota; Gammaproteobacteria; Enterobacterales; Enterobacteriaceae
Description: bacterial SSU rRNA
Rfam family: Bacterial small subunit ribosomal RNA
Source: RNAcentral
CCUACGGGCGGCAGCAGUGGGGAAUAUUGCACAAUGGGCGCAAGCCUGAUGCAGCCAUGCCGCGUGUGUGAAGAAGGCCUUCGGGUUGUAAAGCUCUUUCAGCGGGGAGGAAGGCGUUAAGGUUAAUAACCUUGGCGAUUGACGUUACCCGCAGAAGAAGCACCGGCUAACUCCGUGCCAGCAGCCGCGGUAAUACGGAGGGUGCAAGCGUUAAUCGGAAUUACUGGGCGUAAAGCGCACGCAGGCGGUCUGUCAAGUCGGAUGUGAAAUCCCCGGGCUCAACCUGGGAACUGCAUUCGAAACUGGCAGGCUAGAGUCUUGUAGAGGGGGGUAGAAUCCCAGGUGUAGCGGUGAAAUGCGUAGAGAUCUGGAGGAAUACCGGUGGCGAAGGCGGCCCCCUGGACAAAGACUGACGCUCAGGUGCGAAAGCGUGGGGAGCAAACAGGAUUAGAUACCCGAGUAGUC